CAUUAGGAGUGGGGGCACCCUGACCGCAAUGCCGCGUGUGUGAAGAAGGCCUGAGGGUUGUAAAGCACUUUCAGUGGGGAGGAGGGUAUAAAGGUUAAGAGCUAUUAUAUUGGACGUUACCCACAGAAGAAGCACCGGCUAACUCCGUGCCAGCAGCCGCGGUAAUACGGAGGGUGCGAGCGUUAAUCGGAAUUACUGGGCGUAAAGGGUGCGUAGGUGGUUUGUUAAGUUAGUUUUGAAAUUCCUGGGCUUAACCUGGGCUGGAGGACUAAUACUGAUGGACUGGAGUAUAGGAGAGGGUGGUGGAAUUCCACGUGUAGCGGUGAAAUGCGUAGAUAUGUGGAGGAACACCGAUGGCGAAGGCAGCCCCCUGGGCUAACACUGACGCUCAUGCACGAAA
RNAcentral lists this ribosomal RNA (400 nucleotides) under uncultured bacterium. Its description in RNAcentral is "bacterial SSU rRNA". It matches the Rfam family "Bacterial small subunit ribosomal RNA", at positions 359 to 758 of the family's 1533-position model. The record is from RNAcentral.